AGAAGUAAAGUCUGAGGCUACCCUCACAUUUGGUAGAGAGGCACAAGAGCACAACAUAUGAAGCAACAUGCUGCUCUCUGACAGCUUCCACUUCAGCAGACGAGGAGAGAGACUUCUCUAGUGCUCCGGAAGCCAACUUAACAGAGACUGUUCUACUGAAAGCUUUCUGAAAUCAUUCUUGAAAUACGAUGCAUAAUCUCUUGAGAUUAAAGCAAUGGCAAAAUUCAAAUGGCAGCGGUUCUUGCACUUCUGUCAUUUGCUGACGGACCAGAAGAAUGUGAACCUGCCCAUCUGAUUUCGGUAGGCUUUUCCUAAUUUUGUAAGGUAAUUUGUCACUUUGUUAAGGCAUCCAACAUGCAGCCCUUCCUUAGGACUAAGGGAGUUACCACCAUGGCAUAGAGGGAGUAGGCAAAACAAACAAAGGGGCAGUUGUUCACAGGGAACGGACUCAAUGGCCUACAGGCACAAAAUCUUUCAGAGUUAUGACUCUGUUAUUGC
This 498-nucleotide long non-coding RNA is filed under the name Calidris pugnax (ruff). RNAcentral's name for it is "lncRNA (ENSCPUG00000017507.1)". Lineage: Eukaryota; Metazoa; Chordata; Aves; Charadriiformes; Scolopacidae. The record is from RNAcentral.